CCAUGGGUUAGUUAGUUGACGCGACUUUGGUUAAUCUCAUAUAUCCAGCGCCUAAAUUUGGGAUCUCCUCUCAAUAGUUCUCGAACCUUUAAUUCCCACCGUCACUAUUUUCCACUGCCUUAAGCGGCUGUCAUUCGUUAAUUGCGACGUGUUAUGUUUUGCUACCACCGCCCACUGCUUCCAAUUGCAAACCAACAACAUAUAUUAUAUUGCUGCCUCUUUCCUCCAUGGCUCAUCUAACUGGAUUAAUCCUUACCCUACGGAAGCUCCCUUCAUACCACAAACCGAUUUUGACCUCAAAGCUAAGCUCAAGAUUAGGGCUUUGUUUUUGCUUCUUGGGUAAACUGAAGCUUUCAUCGGCGACCAUCCUGCUACCGUGUUCUACUAUACGAUUGUGCUAAAUCAAGUUUUCUCACCACCUAAUGGUAAAUGGGUUCCAGCAGUCCAAGAACAAUUUAAAGCCCUUUAAUAUUUCUUUUGGUUUUCUAUCUAUCGGAUUAGGUGGAAUACUCUAAUGCAUUAUUGAUGAGGAAGGUCUAUUUUCAAGAAAAACAAUAAACAGUUGUCAGGAAGUAGUAGGUGCUGGAAAGGCACACUAGAAGAUUGGAAAGAAUGGAUACAAUUGUUGCAGGGGCAAAACCGAAAAAACAAAAGUUGGGUAAGAAAGUGGGUGGUGGUUGUUUGGUGAAAAAGAAGCGUAAGCUAUCUGGUAGGAGGAGUGGUGUUGGUAAGGUCCAUCUGUAUAAAACCAUUUCUCCAUAAGUCCUCUUUUGUUUUGUUAGGUUUUGAAAUUUCAUAAAUUUUUAUUUCUAAACAAUUGUUUAAGAAUUAUUGAUUUGUGCCUCUCCUUACAUUUUUAUUUGUAGUUGAACGAUUUUCUC
Molecule: long non-coding RNA, 881 nt
Organism: Lactuca sativa (garden lettuce)
Lineage: Eukaryota; Viridiplantae; Streptophyta; Magnoliopsida; Asterales; Asteraceae
Source: RefSeq, a predicted model, not a curated record